Small nuclear RNA from Jaapia argillacea, 134 nucleotides. It matches the Rfam family "U4 spliceosomal RNA". From Rfam's summary of the family: U4 small nuclear RNA (U4 snRNA) is a component of the major U2-dependent spliceosome. The structure of U4 snRNA from yeast and human has been reported. U4 snRNA presents a k-turn RNA motif in the 5p-SL related to recognition of Snu13 protein. NCBI's taxonomy places the organism in Eukaryota, Fungi, Basidiomycota, Agaricomycetes, Jaapiales, Jaapiaceae. The record is from Rfam.
UCUCUUGUGCUCGGGCAUGUACUGUCGCCAGUGAGGUCUUUACCGAGGCACAGUCUUUUGCUGAUUGCAAAUUACACAUCCGAACACGUCCCUUAGCUUCGGCUUUGUGGCAAUUUUUGGAAGACUAAACUUGA